GCAGGUGUAGCUCAGUGGUAGAGCGCGAAUUCCAUCGUGCGAUCCCUUGCCCGUCAUCGGGCCGAAAGCGUGAUGGUUAUCAUUAGGGUUGACGAGGCCGCUGGUUCGAUUCCAGCCACCUGUA
RNAcentral lists this transfer RNA (124 nucleotides) under Myxococcales bacterium. RNAcentral's name for it is "tRNA-OTHER". It matches the Rfam family "tRNA". Rfam says of the family: Transfer RNA (tRNA) molecules are approximately 80 nucleotides in length. Their secondary structure includes four short double-helical elements and three loops (D, anti-codon, and T loops). The record is from RNAcentral. RNAcentral also lists the same sequence under 1 other name. Lineage: Bacteria; Pseudomonadati; Myxococcota; Myxococcia; Myxococcales.